ACGGGAGGCAGCAGUAGGGAAUCUUCGGCAAUGGACGCAAGUCUGACCGAGCAACGCCGCGUGAGUGAAGAAGGUUUUCGGAUCGUAAAACUCUGUUGUUAGAGAAGAACAAGGAUGAGAGUGGAAAGUUCAUCCCUUGACGGUAUCUAACCAGAAAGCCACGGCUAACUACGUGCCAGCAGCCGCGGUAAUACGUAGGUGGCAAGCGUUGUCCGGAUUUAUUGGGCGUAAAGCGAGCGCAGGCGGUCUUUUAAGUCUGAUGUGAAAGCCCCCGGCUUAACCGGGGAGGGUCAUUGGAAACUGGGAGACUUGAGUGCAGAAGAGGAAAGCGGAAUUCCAUGUGUAGCGGUGAAAUGCGUAGAUAUAUGGAGGAACACCAGUGGCGAAGGCGGCUUUCUGGUCUGUAACUGACGCUGAGGCUCGAAAGCGUGGGGAGCAAACAGGAUUAGAUACCCUGGUA
This 460-nucleotide ribosomal RNA is filed under the name uncultured Enterococcus sp. RNAcentral's name for it is "bacterial SSU rRNA". It matches the Rfam family "Bacterial small subunit ribosomal RNA", at positions 341 to 792 of the family's 1533-position model. The record is from RNAcentral. Lineage: Bacteria; Bacillati; Bacillota; Bacilli; Lactobacillales; Enterococcaceae.